RNAcentral lists this long non-coding RNA (308 nucleotides) under Chrysemys picta bellii (western painted turtle). RNAcentral's name for it is "lncRNA (ENSCPBG00000015555.1)". Lineage: Eukaryota; Metazoa; Chordata; Testudines; Emydidae. The record is from RNAcentral.
AGAUAACAGCUGUGAUCGGCAAAUACAUACUUACACCAUGCCUAUUAUAGAACCCAGACAUCUCAGACUCCACUCUUCUUCUUAUCAAACUGGACAUGUCCCGGAGGAGAUGACAGUAUGAACUAUGCAGAAGACCAGUCUUUGGCAGAGGGAAGUUAUUAUCAGAGCAGCACUGUGCAGUGUUACUUGCCCUUCAUCAAAUGAGAUUUUAAAUGGAUAGAAGAUGUCUGUUAACCAAUUAGUCGAGAUGCAGCUUCAUUGAAAUCAAUGGAGCGAUGCCCAAUUACAACAGCAGGGAAUCUAACCCA